This 782-nucleotide ribosomal RNA is filed under the name uncultured bacterium. Its description in RNAcentral is "bacterial SSU rRNA". It matches the Rfam family "Bacterial small subunit ribosomal RNA", at positions 62 to 857 of the family's 1533-position model. The record is from RNAcentral.
UCGAACGAGCGAGAGAGAGCUUGCUUUCUCAAGCGAGUGGCGAACGGGUGACUAUCGCGUGAGGAACCUGCCUCAAAGAGGGGGACAACAGUUGGAAACGACUGCUAAUACCGCAUAAGCCCACGACCCGGCAUCGGGUUGAGGGAAAAGGAGCAAUCCGCUUUGAGAUGGCCUCGCGUCCGAUUAGCUAGUUGGUGAGGUAACGGCCCACCAAGGCGACGAUCGGUAGCCGGACUGAGAGGUUGAACGGCCACAUUGGGACUGAGACACGGCCCAGACUCCUACGGGAGGCAGCAGUGGGGAAUAUUGCACAAUGGGGGAAACCCUGAUGCAGCGACGCCGCGUGGAGGAAGAAGGUCUUCGGAUUGUAAACUCCUGUUGUUGAGGAAGAUAAUGACGGUACUCAACAAGGAAGUGACGGCUAACUACGUGCCAGCAGCCGCGGUAAAACGUAGGUCACAAGCGUUGUCCGGAAUUACUGGGUGUAAAGGGAGCGCAGGCGGGAAGACAAGUUGGAAGUGGAAUCUAUGGGCUCAACCCAUAAACUGCUUUCAAAACUGUUUUUCUUGAGUAGUGCAGAGGUAGGCGGAAUUCCCGGUGUAGCGGUGGAAUGCGUAGAUAUCGGGAGGAACACCAGUGGCGAAGGCGGCCUACUGGGCACCAACUGACGCUGAGGCUCGAAAGUGUGGGUAGCAAACAGGAUUAGAUACUCUGGUAGUCCACACCGUAAACGAUGAUUACUAGGUGUUGGAGGAUUGACCCCUUCAGUGCCGCAGUUAACA